Sus scrofa (pig) is the source of this 3976-nucleotide non-coding RNA. The record is from RefSeq and is a predicted model, not a curated record. Lineage: Eukaryota; Metazoa; Chordata; Mammalia; Artiodactyla; Suidae.
CCCACUGAGGGAGGCCAGGGAUCGAACCUGUGUCCUCAUGGUUCCUAGUCAAAUUCAUUUCUGCUGAACCACGACAGGAACUCCCGGAUAUUUUAGUUUUCUUUUUUAAACCAGAGUUAGAGUUUCUAUCCCCUUUAGUGUAGUUUUCUUUUUUAAACCAGAGUUAGAGUUUCUAUCCCCUUUAGUGUAUUAAUGCCUCAGAGAAUAUCUGGAUAACUGUGACAGCUAAGUGUACAGAACAGUGAUGCAGCUUGGUACUCAAUCAUGUAGACAAUUUCUCAGGAGAAGACUACACUGCCUUAUCUGUUGUGGGAAGUUUCUUUGCUUGCUUCAUGCAACAGUGUGGACCAGAGUGAAUGCAUAAGCAUGAACACAGAACCCCCAUCACCACUGUGAAUGGGCCACUUAACAAAUUCUGCAAGUCUGGAAGGUCUCCCCAGGAAGCUAAUUGAUUGAGUCUGCCAUUGCUGUGAGGUAGCCAUGUACUCACAUGCUUAGCACCCAAGACCCAUCUCGUGUGUGCUGGUCUGCCAGAAACAUGUGUUGUUAUGCUAGAAGGGAACAUGGCUCAGGAUAGAUUCAUAGGCAGGCCUCAGGAACUCUCCAGAGAUUUGGACUUCAUGAUAAUGAAUAGACUUUAUUUCAGGGGAGUACGCAUUAAGAUUGACAGACUAAUGGAACAGAUAGUAUAUAGUUUAAUAUAUCCUCCAUUAUUACUGCAUAUAUUGUUGCAGUUAAUGAACCAAUAUUGGUACAUUAUUAUUAACUAUAGUCUACAAGUUACAUGAAGGUUCCCACUUGGGGCUGUACAUUCUAGGGUUUUGACAAAUGCAUGAUGUCCUGUAUCCACCAUUCCAGUGUCCACACAGGACAGUUUCACUGCCCUAAAAAUCCUCUGUGUUCCACCUGUUCAUCCAUCUCUCUUUCCCUCUGAACGCCUGAUCUUUUUUCUCUCUCCAUAGUUUUUGCCUCUUCGGGAAUGUCACAUAGUUGAAAUCAUUAUAGUGUGUCGCCUUUUCAGACUGGCUUCUUUCAUUGAGUAAUCUGCAUUUAAGGUUCCCCCACGUGGCUUGAGAGUUCGUUUUAUCUUAUCACUGAAUAAUAUUCCAUGGGCUGUACCACAUUUUGUCUAUCCAUUCGCCCAUCUUACUGUUUUAUUUUUAAGCAGAUGCUAGAACAUUUUAGCACACAGUAGAUGUCUGGUAAAUAAAGAGUUAUUACAUGACCUAGUUGGAUUAAAUCCUUAUUCUUUCUCACAGGUGUGUAGCACAAAAGGAGUGUUCUGAUGGAAAAAGGCAAUUAUGUGUUAGGCACUCAUUUCUGCUUGUAUGCAGUUGUUGUUUAAGGAGAGUGCAUUUAACCCCACAGAGGCUUAGCCCAGCAGCUGCAAACAGCUUUGAUAUGCCCAGGCUUCCAGCCACAGUUUAAAAAUUCUCCCUAGCAUUGCACUAAUACGGUAGCUGCUCACCAGCCACAUGUGGCUAUUUCAAUUUACAUUGAUUAAAACUACAUAAAAUUAAAAAGUCAGUGCCUCUGUUGCACCAGCCACAGUUCAGCUGCUGGUUAACUGUACAUGGCUCUUGGUUACCAUUUUGGACCAGACACUUCUAGAAUGUUAUCAUCAUCACAGACAAUUUUAUUGGCCAGCAUUCAAAUAGAAGGGGGAGGGGGGAUUGCAAUGAGCUGACCAGGCCAAUCCUGAGUCCUCGUCAGUGCUCCGCUGCUUUGUGCUGCCACAAUUUUACAAUGGAAGAGAGGAAGGCCGGAGGUCUGUUUUCUGGAGAAAAGUUGCUUAAAAUAACUUCGUGGGGAUCCAAACGGCGGCCCAGGCCACUGAAGCUGUGAAAUCCUCCUUGUGUGACAACCCCAGGAGGCCCAGCUGGACAAAGGUUUAGGCCCUUGAUCAGCUAGUGUUAAGGAGUUUUACAGAACUCUGAGUUCUUGCCUAUUUAGUUUGGUGAAAAAGCAGGGGCCUUCUCUAAUUUGAGGGGUUGGGGGUGGGUGUGGAGAGGGAGUGAAACUUCUCAACUAAUAAAUCUGCACAUUGUACGCCCCUCCUUUAGUAAAUGCCUGUGCCUGUUGGAUACCAAGAGUGUGAAAGCUGAAUGAAUAGCAGAUACUUGACACAGACCCUGUUGCUUACUCCCUUGAAAUUGAAAUUACUCUUAUUUGGGAGCAAAGCAAAUGGCAGUUAAGCUGUCUUGGGGGUUUUUUUUCUUGAGGUUUGUUUUUUGUUUGUUUGUGGGGUUUUUUUGUUUGUUUGUUUUGUUUUUUGCCUUUUUAUGUCAGCUUUUUGGAUUUGAUCAGCUCUCAUUUCAUUCACGUGGUAAAAGCCAGGCUCACACAAAGUAUCAUGGACUUAGAUUUCAGUUCUGUAUUCAUUUUAGGUCUGGCCUUUUAAUAAAGUCUUUGAGGUUUUUUUGGUUUUUUUUUUCUUCUAAAUAAAAGUACAGAUAACAGACAUGAUAUGAAAUUGGGCUUUUCCUUCAUGUCUAAUCUGGAAAUUGGCUGUUGAUGCUGCUGAGGGUUUGUAAUAUAAUUUUCAGCUGAAAACACCAAAUUGCUCUGUUUGCACAUUGUAGCUUUAAAUAUUGACUUUUCACCUUCUGACAUGCUCCGGUUCCUGAGAGGCCUAACGUGGAAAGGGGAACGUGACAGAAUAACAUAGCUACCAUAAUUCCUGUGAAACGACUUAAAAUAUUCUGGUAUUUAGAAGUCCCGUCAGGACAUGAACACUUGGAAUCAUAACUGUCUAUAAACACAGGCUUAGGAUUGAUAGUUUUCUCUAAGAAUAGGCACAGAGAAAAUAGUAUAUUAUCUUGCAAAUGAAGAAUUGGAAAUGCCAGACCCCAAAUGAAGACAGAUUUCCCUUUAAUCUUUCGGCUAGUGUCACCUGCUAAACAACUCCCAGAAGAGUUGCUGAGAUGUAAUCAGCAUUUAAUAAUGCUUGCAUUUGUUCAGCCUACUUUUUUUCUUUUUUUUAAGCCAACACAUUGGCCCUUGAAUAAAAGGCAGGAUGACGGGUGGAUUUCUUAUAUUGACCAGGGUUUUCAUUGAACUUUAAAAAGUCUAUUUUAAUUUAGACACUGUUUCAUGUUAGCGAAGUCUCAAGAAAUUGAUAAUGGGGUUUCUUCGCAUGGGAUUGUUUUCUUAAAAGCCACACAAGGGGAAAAGAUCAAUAUUAGGGCUUUCCGAGUGGCAGCUUUUUACAGACUCCCCCACCCCCACCCCAGCACAAUUGAUUACAGCUGUUUUUGUAAAGGAUUUAAAAAGAACAAUCUGUAUGAAAACCCUCCUUCUUUGCUAUGAGUUGAGCAGUUCCAGGCAGGUUUCCAUGGGGGCUGCACUGCAGCGUGACCACUUGAAGAGCCUGUGGCUGCACCCGCGGGCGGGUGGGGGCAGCCAGGCGGGGAAAGGCUAUUAGGUGAGGGGUUGUGGGCACGCAUGCCAAAGAGGUUGCCCUGGCAGCUGCAAUCAUUCAGCCGAAUUCCUCCACCUCCAAAGCAGGAGGGGUGAGACGCAAGUGAUUUUUCUACGCACGCGGUGUUGUCAGCGGCCAGGAGAGAGAGGUGAAGAAUCUGUGUUUCACAGCAUUGGCCGAAGGCAGGUGUAUCCAUUCCAAGUUAGGAAAGCUAGAAACUGCUAGGCCCCCAGCUUCCACAUCCUCACUUGUUGCCUGGAGGCCACAGAGGGGUGGACGCAUCUUCCUGGGGCACCUGGAGCCAGUUCUUCUCAGGCUGCCCACUGAUCUUGGACCCAUAAAAUAAUAAAUGCCACUCUGGAGGCAGAGGUGCUGUGUGGCCACAGGGUGCCUGGAGCAGGAAACGAAGUCUCUUAUGAAAUGGUGCUUACGGAUAUGUGUUCCCACUGAGGCUUUUCAUUAUCGCUAGUGAAUUACCAUGAAUCAGCCAGGAGUAUACACUUCCAUCAGCGGAAUGUCAGAAUAGCUUCAUCUGUAGAUUCUGAUGGAGGUAGA